Molecule: transfer RNA, 322 nt
Filed under: Salmo salar (Atlantic salmon)
Lineage: Eukaryota; Metazoa; Chordata; Actinopteri; Salmoniformes; Salmonidae
Description: lncRNA (ENSSSAG00000103843.1)
Source: RNAcentral
UCAUACAUUUUUUUUUUUGUUUUUUUUUCAUACUGGUCCCCCGUGGGAAUCAAACCCACAACCCUGGCAUUGCAAACACCAUGCUCUACCAACUGAGCUACAGGAGACUAAACAGGAGGUGGAGGCGGUGUCAUCCUCAAAGCUGUGCGGAAUAAGGUCACGGAUCUCCAAGUUCUUCAAGGAAAAAGCCAGAGCCAGGGAGUCCUAUAGUAGCAUAAACAGUGGAGGACAAUGCACCCUUCUCCUUUGUGAGACCCCCAUGUACGAGAUGAAACAGUGUUAUAAACCAAAUAAAAAUGUCUUCGUCUUGGCAGCCCCACCG